AUCCCAUCCCGAACUCGGAAGUUAAGCCCUGCCGCGCGGAUGGUACUGCUGGGGCGACCCGGUGGGAGAGUACGUCGCUGCCAGCC
Molecule: ribosomal RNA, 86 nt
Filed under: Gemmatimonadota bacterium
Lineage: Bacteria; Pseudomonadati; Gemmatimonadota
Source: RNAcentral